This 1152-nucleotide ribosomal RNA is filed under the name uncultured organism. Its description in RNAcentral is "bacterial SSU rRNA". It matches the Rfam family "Bacterial small subunit ribosomal RNA", at positions 38 to 1190 of the family's 1533-position model. The record is from RNAcentral.
AGCGGCAGGCUUACACAUGCAAGUCGAGGGGUAACAGGUCACUUCGGUGAUGCUGACGACCGGCGCACGGGUGAGUAACGCGUAUGGAACCUACCUGAAACAGGGGGAUAGCUUCCGGAAACGGGGAUUAAUACCCCAUACGAUUCAUUUGUGGCCUCACAAAUGGAUAAAAGCUACGGCGGUUUCAGAUGGUCAUGCGUACCAUUAGUUAGUUGGUGAGGUAAAGGCUCACCAAGGCGAUGAUGGUUAGGGGUCCUGAGAGGGUAGUCCCCCACACUGGUACUGAGACACGGACCAGACUCCUACGGGAGGCAGCAGUGAGGAAUAUUGGUCAAUGGGCGCUAGCCUGAACCAGCCAUGCCGCGUGCAGGAAGACGGCCCUACGGGUUGUAAACUGCUUUUCUGCAGGAAGAAUAUAUAGUCUUAGGGCUAUAUUGACGGUACUGCAGGAAUAAGCAUCGGCUAACUCCGUGCCAGCAGCCGCGGUAAUACGGAGGAUGCAAGCGUUAUCCGGAUUCAUUGGGUUUAAAGGGUGCGCAGGCUGUAAAGCAAGUCAGUGGUGAAAGCCCUGGGCUUAACUCAGGGAUUGCCAUUGAAACUGUUUUACUAGAGUGUAGUAGAGGACGGCGGAAUGAGUUGUGUAGCGGUGAAAUGCAUAGAUAUAACUCAGAACACCUAUUGCGUAGGCAGCUGUCUAUACUACAACUGACGCUGAGGCACGAAAGCGUGGGGAGCGAACAGGAUUAGAUACCCUGGUAGUCCACGCUGUAAACGAUGAUCACUCGUUGUUGGCUACUUAGUAGUCAGUGACCAAGGGAAACCGAUAAGUGAUCCACCUGGGGAGUACGUCGGCAACGAUGAAACUCAAAGGAAUUGACGGGGGCCCGCACAAGCGGAGGAACAUGUGGUUUAAUUCGAUGAUACGCGAGGAACCUUACCUGGGCUUAAAUGCUGGCUGCAUUGGAGGGAAACCUUCAUUUCCUACGGGACCGCCAGCAAGGUGCUGCAUGGUUGUCGUCAGCUCGUGCCGUGAGGUGUCGGGUUAAGUCCCAUAACGAGCGCAACCCCUAUCGCUAGUUGCCAGCAUGUAAUGGUGGGGACUCUAGCGAGACUGCCGGUGUAAACCGGAGGAAGGUGGGGAUGACGUCAAAU